Suricata suricatta (meerkat) is the source of this 1895-nucleotide long non-coding RNA. RefSeq lists it as uncharacterized. NCBI's taxonomy places the organism in Eukaryota, Metazoa, Chordata, Mammalia, Carnivora, Herpestidae. The record is from RefSeq and is a predicted model, not a curated record. The transcript is spliced from 3 exons.
ACUUAAUGUCAGUUUCCAUCAGCAAUUUGACUGAGGACGUGCUUCAGACGAAGUCCGUGAAGGUGGCUGCAAAAGCCAGCCCGUUUUCUGUCACACCGAAGGAGGCUUCGAGGAGGAAGGAGAGAGGGGAGCAGUCUGCUGCGUAGAAAAUUCAGCCUCAUAAACAAGAGUUGAAGGCCUGCUUUUUGGUAGGUGCUGAGACUGUAGGCUCCACCUCUCCUCCUCUCCACGCUCCUGCUAGCUUCUCCGCCCCGGCCAGACUCGAGGAGGUUCGCCCGGGGUGUUCGCCUAGUGGGAGAAGCAGGUGCUCGACUUCACACAGGCAGGAAGUCCUCGAAACCUUCCUACAGCCAAGGGAGAGGUCCAUCCAUCCAUCCAUCGACUGCUCUGGAAACCUCCCCUGAUACAGAAACUAAGGGUGAGCAAGGUUAAAGGACAGAUCCAGGAGAAAUCCGCCUCCAGAUCCCUACUUCUAACCACAGUGAUACAUAUGUUACUUUUGGAUGCACUUGAAACAAUGCCAUACUCAGAGGAAGUUUUCCAGACGCUUCAGGAAGAAGAGAGAGACUGGCAACUCUGUAAGGGACGUCAUCUGGAGAUUCCAAGAUCCCCAAAGCUGCUGAGGUCUUGUGAAUGACAUGUUCCCAGCCCCUGACCCCCACCCCCGGGCAGACUGCCUGCGUCAGAAUUUCUGGACAGAAGCGACAAACCUCACUAUGUCACAGUUCCCCCAAACAACUCUAAUGCAGCUGAUCCCGGCAUCAACCUCAGGGAGCCUCAGGGUCUGCUCCCUCCAGUUUACAGAACAGGAGACUUGGCAACUGGUUUAGCUCCGUAAGGAACAAGAAUGACCUGGGAAGGAUCUGGUGUGGGCGGAGCUAUGGUGACCAAGGUGCAGGUUCCACUCAGGCAGCUCCUCUCUCAGGUGAUUUUCUAGUGGGCAAGUGUCAGCACUAGUGGUAAACCGUGGGACAUUCAGGCUCCUCUGUAAGCUGGACACGCACAGUGAACACAAGUUUCCAGGAAAGCUCAGACUGAACAUAAAAUAGCAACAGACAGGUGAACUAGAUGCAUGCAGGAUGUCAUAUGAAAUGACAUGAGUCCCCAGGAUACCACCCUACAGACUGAGAUGGACCUUGGGUUGGAAGUCCCAAGGCAGAAAGUUUAGCAUGACAUUUAGGCUGCGUAUGGAGCUCUAUAUACCUUUUAAUUGUCCUUUUAAUUCAUCUUUGUCUAAGAGUAGUUGCUUAGUUUGACCACAAGGUGACGCUAACGAGCUUGGUGGACCUUAGUUGGGGUUGGUUAGACAUUGAGGUCUUUCAAAAGAAAAACUCAAGCUUGCUGCCUUCUUAACAGAUCAAAUCUUACACUUCUUUUCCCUAUUCUGCACUUUCCAAUGUUGGGAGGGGGACUUAACCAUUCACCUAGUAUGACCAUUUCAUUUAUUACCAAAUUUCAUUAUUUUAGAUAAAGCCUCAGGAAACAUACUUAUGCAUAAAGCUUUUCCUGGAUUCAAGAAAUAUUGCUGGAAGCAAACUUAUCACAACUAAACAUUUGUAAGUCUCUUGAUAAAUACACAGCACCAAAUAUGAGAAAAUUUUCAGGAUAUUUUAUGAUAUUAAUUAAAUAAUUAUUGUUCAUUUUUUCUAGAUGGGUUAAUGGUACCAUGGUUAUCUAUUUCUAAAAAGCCUUUCCUAGGGGUGCCUCCCUGGCUCAGUCUGUAGAGCGUGCAAUUAUUGAUCUCAGGGUUGUGAGUUCCAGCUGCACAUUAAGUAUAAAGAUUCCUUAAAUAAAACCUUUUAAAAAAAUAAUAAAGAACUUUUCCUAGAGAUGCAUAAUAAAGUAUUUAUAAGUGAAAUAAUAUUAUCUAGAAUUUACUCAAAAAUAAUCCAGUC